This 482-nucleotide ribosomal RNA is filed under the name uncultured bacterium. Its description in RNAcentral is "partial 16S ribosomal RNA". It matches the Rfam family "Bacterial small subunit ribosomal RNA", at positions 28 to 523 of the family's 1533-position model. The record is from RNAcentral.
GACGAACGCUGGAGGCGUGCUUAACACAUGCAAGUCGAACGAUGAAAUGGAGCUUGCUCCAUGGAUUAGUGGCGAACGGGUGAGUAACACGUGAAUAACCUGCCCUUAAUUUUGGAAUAACCCAGGGAAACCUGGGCUAAUACCGGAUAAGUAAACCUGUGGCAUCACAUGGUUUUGGAAAGUUUUUCGAUUAAGGAUGGAUUCGCGGCCUAUCAGCUUGUUGGUGAGGGAAUGGCUCACCAAGGCGACGACGGGUAGCCGGCCUGAGAGGGUGAACGGCCACACUGGGACUGAGACACGGCCCAGACUCCUACGGGAGGCAGCAGUGGGGAAUAUUGCGCAAUGGACGAAAGUCUGACGCAGCGACGCCUCGUGAGGGACGAAGGUCUUCGGAUUGUAAACCUCUUUCAGCAGGGACGAAGCGAAAGUGACGGUACCUACAGAAGAAGCACCGGCUAACUAUGUGCCAGCCGCCGCAGUAA